GAUGAAGAACGUAGCGAAACGCGAUAAGUAAUGUGAAUUGCAGAAUCCAGUGAAUCAUCGAAUCUUUGAACGCACAUUGCGCCCGCCAGCAUUCUGGCGGGCAUGCCUGUUCGAGCGUCAUUUCAACCCUCGACCUCCCCUUGGGGAGGUCGGCGUUGGGGACCGGCAGCACACCGCCGGCCCGGAAAUGGAGUGGCGGCCCGUCCGCGGCGACCUCUGCGCAGUAAUACAGCUCGCACCGGGACCCCGACGCGGCCACGCCGUAAAACACCCAACUUCUGAACGUUGACCUCGAAUCAGGUAGGACUACCCGCUGAACUUAAGCAUAUCAAUAAGCGGAGGA
Molecule: unclassified non-coding RNA, 343 nt
Filed under: soil metagenome
Description: partial contains 5.8S ribosomal RNA, internal transcribed spacer 2, and large subunit ribosomal RNA
Rfam family: 5.8S ribosomal RNA (bases 1-120)
Source: RNAcentral